Long non-coding RNA from Tympanuchus pallidicinctus (lesser prairie-chicken), 1764 nucleotides. RefSeq lists it as uncharacterized. Lineage: Eukaryota; Metazoa; Chordata; Aves; Galliformes; Phasianidae. The transcript has 3 exons. The record is from RefSeq and is a predicted model, not a curated record.
UUCAAGCCCCCUGUUUUCUGCUAAGACUUGUUGACUUGGCCAAGCCUGAGGCCAUUUCUCAUGGUGCUCUCUGGAACACCUGUCAAGCAGGGGCUGGACUGAGCCCAGCAACUCAUUCCAGAUGACACCACGCAAUCCUUAGCUUCUAAUGACUCCUAGCUAUUGCUUCUCUGAAUACAACUAUAAUUGGUAACCUCAGAGUGAAAGAGUUUCUUCAUCCCUUGACUAAUUUCCUCUGCCAUUCAGGCCCACCAAAUCGGUUUGUGUGCAUACUCCAUUUUAUCAAACAAUGCUGCUUGGAGGUAAAUCAACAUUGUUUUUCUCCUGUAUCCACAUAGCAUCAAACCAGCCACUAUGAAAGAAAAUUAACUCUAUUUCAGCCGAAACCAGGAUGGGAAUAUUAGCUGCUAUUUGCAGCAGCACGUGGCUAAGAAGUCAAAUGCAACAGUUCAGAACACAGACUGGAAAAAAGCAAGAACGAAAUGGUUGCCUGAGGAAAUAUCCUAACAAACCAGAGAGAGAUUUCAACAUGUUCAUUUGCAUUGGCACCACAAAAUGUCAGGUCUCAAAAUGGAAAUGGGCCGACAUUGUCUAGGACCUAUUCCAGGAAAUGCCUCUUGGAUAGAAGCGCUCUCUUGCUGCUCCUUCUCCAUGACCGUGUGAGGAGAAGUAUCUAAAAUAGGUCAUUGUUAUGCAUGGAGAGAGCCCUGCUCCCCAGGCUCCCUCGGUUUCCAACAAAACAGGCUUUGGAGGUGGAGGUGCCAAUCAGUGCCAGUGAUGAGACCAGAUGCGUCCAUAAGGUAGGAAAUGGGAACCCACAAAUUGCUCUCAGAGAGGCUGAGCAGCUGUUGGACUGUGGAGGUCUCUGGCCCUUUCUGACCCGGGCCAUUGACCUACAAGUGAAAAGUGUGAAAUCUCCGUGCCAGCAGAGCGGUGAGUUCUCAUUCCACGUUCAGUUGCUGCCAUCUGAUGGCAGAUUGGGAGUAAAAGAGCCUCGUGCAAUAUGAAUGUCUUGUCCAGAGAAGGGCAAUAGAGCUGUGAGGAAUCUGGAACACAAGUCUUAUGGGAUGGGGCUGAGAGAACUGGAAUAGUGUGGUCUGGAGAAGAGGAGGCUCAGAGGAGACCUUAUUGCCCUCUGUAACUGCUUGAAAGGAGGCUGUGGUGAGGUAGGGGUCAGACUGCUGCUGGGGAACAGUUGAUAGGAUGGGAGGCAAUGGCCUCAAGUUGCUACAGAGGAGGUUCAGAUCGGAUAUUAGGAACAAUUUCUUCUCAGAAAGAGUGGUGAUACACUGGCACUGCUGCACAGGGAGUGCUGGAGUCACCGUCCCUGGAGAUGUUCAAGAACUCUGGAUAUGUGGCACUGAGGGAUGUGGUCAGUGGGGGUGGGUUGGGCUCUGCCCAUACACUUCCAAAUUAUACUUCAAGCCCUACUACCUCACACUGUCUUACAAAAGAGAAAAGUUAGAUUUUGAAUAUUUCUUCCUGCAUCCUUGCACUGCAGCUGUAAGGUAUCCAUGAGCAUGGUCAUGAUGGGUCUGCAGCCCAGGGAGAUGUGGAGCAGCUACCAGCAGCUUUUGUGCAGCCCAGUGGUGAGAGCACUUGUACAGCCUCAUAGUUACCAGGUACGUGACUGGGGGUUAACAGCAAUCUCUGGACAGAAUAAUAGAAAGAGCUGUAGAAUUCCCCUCUGCUUGGCUGAAGGAUUUGCUGUCAGAAAUUAAGUCCACGAGCAAGGUGAUAUGGAAGAGUGGAAGGAAAACUUUU